RNAcentral lists this ribosomal RNA (404 nucleotides) under Fusobacteriota bacterium. RNAcentral describes it as "Fusobacteria bacterium partial 16S ribosomal RNA". It matches the Rfam family "Bacterial small subunit ribosomal RNA", at positions 355 to 776 of the family's 1533-position model. Lineage: Bacteria; Fusobacteriati; Fusobacteriota. The record is from RNAcentral.
UGGGGAAUAUUGCACAAUGGAGGGAACUCUGCUGCAGCGACGCCGCGUGAGUGAUGAAGGAAUUCGUUUCGUAAAACUCUGUUCUAUGGGAAGAAAAGGACUGUACCAUAGGAGAAAGCUCCGGCUAAAUACGUGCCAGCAGCCGCGGUAAUACGUAUGGAGCGAGCGUUGUCCGGAAUUAUUGGGCGUAAAGGGUGCGCAGGCGGCUUUACAAGUUGGAUGUGAAAUAUUGUGGCUCAACCACAAACGUGCAUCCAAAACUGCAAAGCUUGAGUUAAGGAGAGGUAAGUGGAAUUCCUGGUGUAGCGGUGGAAUGCGUAGAUAUCAGGAGGAAUACCGGUGGCGAAUGCGACUUACUGGACUUAAACUGACGCUCAGGCACGAAAGCGUGGGGAGCAAACAGG